GUUUUAUUAGCUUAAUUGGUAAAGCAUUCGUUUUGUAAUCGAAAGAGUAUAGGUUCAAAUCCUAUAUAAAACA
Transfer RNA from Candida maltosa Xu316, 73 nucleotides. It matches the Rfam family "tRNA". Rfam says of the family: Transfer RNA (tRNA) molecules are approximately 80 nucleotides in length. Their secondary structure includes four short double-helical elements and three loops (D, anti-codon, and T loops). NCBI's taxonomy places the organism in Eukaryota, Fungi, Ascomycota, Pichiomycetes, Serinales, Debaryomycetaceae. The record is from Rfam.